Molecule: ribosomal RNA, 497 nt
Filed under: uncultured bacterium
Lineage: Bacteria
Description: partial 16S ribosomal RNA
Rfam family: Bacterial small subunit ribosomal RNA
Source: RNAcentral
GACGAACGCUGGCGGCGUGCCUAAUACAUGCAAGUCGAACGCUGACGGGCGGAGCUUGCUCUUCUUGGGUGAGUUGCGAACGGGUGAGUAACGCGUAGGUAACCUGCCUUGUAGCGGGGGAUCACUAUUUGAAACGAUAGCUAAUACCGCAUAACAAUGGAUGACACAUGUCGUUUAUUUGAAAGGGGCAGUUGCUCCACUACAAGAUGGACCUGCGUUGUGUUAGCUAGUAGGUCAGGUAAUGGCUCACCUAGGCGGCGAUACAUAGCCGGCCCGAGCGGGUGGUCCGGCACACCGGGGCUGGGACACGGCCCAGGCUUCUUCGGGAGGGAGCAGGAGGGGAUCUUUGGCAAUGGGGGGAACCCUGACUGAGGAACGGCGGGGGAGUGAAGAAGGGCUUUGGGUCGGAAAGCUCUGUUGGAAGGGAAGAAAGGGUGUGCGAGUGGAAAGGUCACACUGUGACGGUAGCGUACGAGAAAGCGACGGCUAACUACGUG